Molecule: transfer RNA, 72 nt
Filed under: Cordylochernes scorpioides
Lineage: Eukaryota; Metazoa; Arthropoda; Arachnida; Pseudoscorpiones; Chernetidae
Description: tRNA-Ile
Rfam family: tRNA
About the family: Transfer RNA (tRNA) molecules are approximately 80 nucleotides in length. Their secondary structure includes four short double-helical elements and three loops (D, anti-codon, and T loops). Further hydrogen bonds mediate the characteristic L-shaped molecular structure. tRNAs have two regions of fundamental functional importance: the anti-codon, which is responsible for specific mRNA codon recognition, and the 3' end, to which the tRNAs corresponding amino acid is attached (by aminoacyl-tRNA synthetases). tRNAs cope with the degeneracy of the genetic code in two manners: having more than one tRNA (with a specific anti-codon) for a particular amino acid; and 'wobble' base-pairing, i.e. permitting non-standard base-pairing at the 3rd anti-codon position.
Source: RNAcentral
UCCAGGGUAGUCUAAUGGACAUCCAUCUGCCCGAUAAUCGGAACACUGUGGGUUCGAUUCCCAUCCCUGGAC